CAGAUCUGGUGAUCAUAAACAGCAGAGAGGAACAGAUGUUCCUCACUGACCAAAAGAAAGAGAGGAAUUUCUGGAUUGGUCUGACUGAUGAAGAGACAGAAAACACAUGGAAGUGGGUGGAUGGCCAACUGCUGACCGACAAAUUCUGGAGGAGCGGUGAACCCAACAAUGGUCAUGGUGGUGGUGAGGAGGACUGUGCUAUUUUCACCACUACAGUCAAAGACAGUCAGCGAACAUGGAACGAUCUUUCCUGCUCAGGGAGAGAAAACUGGAUGUGUGAAUUCAAUCUGACCAACUUCCACCUAAAUACUUCAACACUUUUAGAUUUUCACUGCUAAUCUUGGGAUAAAGGCAUAAUCAGAGGCUUUAGAAGCUGUUGAACUGAAAUUUAGAGAUUACAGGGCUUGAGCAUGUUACUUUAACACAAUUUAUACAUUUAGUUCUGAAUAAGAACCAACAGAUGUUAUACAGAAUAUACAAAUGUAUGUGAUUCAUUAUUUCAUAUUUUUAUUGUUAGUUGUUUAUAUUGCUUUUGAAAAUCAAAUGAUAUUUAUUACACAGUAUAGACGAUGUACUUAAAUGUAUCCGUUACAGUUGAAAGACAUUACAAUGUGCAAAGACAAUUUUAUUAUCAGUUGUAGAGUUUCUGCUGUUUUUAUCA
Colossoma macropomum (tambaqui) is the source of this 661-nucleotide long non-coding RNA. RefSeq lists it as uncharacterized. The transcript is spliced from 3 exons. Lineage: Eukaryota; Metazoa; Chordata; Actinopteri; Characiformes; Serrasalmidae. The record is from RefSeq and is a predicted model, not a curated record.